UGAGGGCUCUUUCUUGAUUCGGUGGUUGGUGGUGCAUGGCCGUUCUUAGUUGGUGGAGUGAUCUGUCUGGUUAAUUCCGUUAACGAGCGAGACCCGGGCCUGCUCAUUAUGCCCUCAAGCUGUGAAUAGCAUUGGGUUCAUUCGAUACUUCUUAGAGGGAUCAGCGGAGUUGCAUCCGCGUGAAACCGGGCCAUAACAGGUCUGUGAUGCCCUUCGAUGUUCCGGGCCGCACGCGUGCUACACUGACGGGGACAAGGGGCUGGCACGCCGCGCGAAAGCAGUGGCGAAAACCUAGCAACCCCUGUCGUGCUUGGGACUAGGGCUUGAAACUGUUGCCUACGAACGAGGAAUUCCGAGUAAGCGCGAGUUAAAAACUUGCGUUGAUUACGUCCCUGCCCUUUGUACACACCGCCCGUCGCUACUACCGAUCGAACGGUCUAGUGAGGCUACCGGACGGGCCCCGGUCCCUGCCUGGUCAUGCGGGUGGGGGCGUCAUGGAAGAUGCCCAGAAGGGAGUCGAACUAGAUUGUUUAGAGGAAGUAAAAGUCGUAACAAGGUUUCC
RNAcentral lists this ribosomal RNA (562 nucleotides) under Syllis edensis. Its description in RNAcentral is "bacterial SSU rRNA". It matches the Rfam family "Eukaryotic small subunit ribosomal RNA", at positions 1249 to 1804 of the family's 1831-position model. Lineage: Eukaryota; Metazoa; Annelida; Polychaeta; Phyllodocida; Syllidae. The record is from RNAcentral.